GACGAACGCUGGCGGCGUGCUUAACACAUGCCAGUCGAACGGAAAGGCCCUGCUUUUGUGGGGUGCUCGAGUGGCGCACGGGUGUGUAACACGUGAGUAACCUGCCCUUGACUUUGGGAUAACUUCAGGAAACUGGGGCUAAUACCGGAUAGGAGCUCCUGCUGCAUGGUGGGGGUUGGAAAGUUUCGGCGGUUGGGGAUGGACUCGCGGCUUAUCAGCUUGUUGGUGGGGUAGUGGCUUACCAAGGCUUUGACGGGUAGCCGGCCUGAGAGGGUGACCGGCCACAUUGGGACUGAGAUACGGCCCAGACUCCUACGGGAGGCAGCAGUGGGGAAUAUUGCACAAUGGGCGGAAGCCUGAUGCAGCAACGCCGCGUGCGGGAUGACGGCCUUCGGGUUGUAAACCGCUUUCGCCUGUGACGAAGCGUGAGUGACGGUAAUGGGUAAAGAAGCACCGGCUAACUACGUG
This 468-nucleotide ribosomal RNA is filed under the name uncultured bacterium. RNAcentral's name for it is "partial 16S ribosomal RNA". It matches the Rfam family "Bacterial small subunit ribosomal RNA", at positions 28 to 507 of the family's 1533-position model. The record is from RNAcentral.